Non-coding RNA from Triticum urartu, 115 nucleotides. Lineage: Eukaryota; Viridiplantae; Streptophyta; Magnoliopsida; Poales; Poaceae. The record is from Rfam.
AAGAUACUCCUUCCGUUCCGAAUUACUUGUCACAGGUAUAAAUACAUCUAGAUGUAUUUUAGUUUUAGAUACAUUCAUUUCUGCGACGAGUAAUUUGAAACGGAGGGAGUACAUG